This 253-nucleotide ribosomal RNA is filed under the name uncultured bacterium. RNAcentral's name for it is "partial 16S ribosomal RNA". It matches the Rfam family "Bacterial small subunit ribosomal RNA", at positions 524 to 776 of the family's 1533-position model. The record is from RNAcentral.
UACGGGGGGGGCAAGCGUUGUUCGGAAUUACUGGGCGUAAAGGGCUCGUAGGCGGCCAACUAAGUCGGAUGUGAAAUCCCCAGGCUUAACCUGGGAACUGCAUCCGAUACUGGAUGGCUUGAAUCCGGGAGAGGGAUGCAGAAUUCCAGGUGUAGCGGUGAAAUGCGUAGAUAUCUGGAGGAAUACCGGUGGCGAAGGCGGCAUCCUGGACCAACACUGACACUGAGGAGCGAAAGCCAGGGGAGCAAACGGG